CCAGGCGACACCUCAAAUUUUUGUCGACGCUUCUGCCACCUUCGAGCAACCAUCGAACUCGGACGACGCCUCGAAGAGCAGCGCCCGCCGACACGGUGUGAAGUGUUGGAACUAAUUAUCGACGAUGAUAUUCAGCUGCCAUAAGCGGAGAUGAACCGGCCGGAUCAACUUGGACGAGUACGGUAGACGUGUAAAAUGGCGAUAUCGUGGUUGUAAUAGGUUCACUAUUUGAGGUAGCACAGGUAUAUUAGAUAACAUUUAUUAUAAUGAAUCGAAAUAUUUUAUGAAACGAAUAAUUCAUAUUCAAAAUCACGGUACAGUUUAUCUUUAGUUUUCUGACCCGUUGUACUCGUCGGCAAAGAAAGAGAGACGGUGAGCGAAUAUUAGGUCAAUCUAUCGUUCCACGUGAUAUUUGUUUGGAUAAAAUAAAAAAUAAACAUAAACGAAUCAUGGUAUGUACAAUAUUAUAUGAUGUAACGGUAUUGGAAGCAGAAUAAUAGCUUAGAAAGAUAUUCACCAAACUUUCACAUCGUUCCAUUGGAGCUGGUUAUCUG
This is a long non-coding RNA of Neodiprion fabricii, 554 nucleotides long. RefSeq lists it as uncharacterized. The record is from RefSeq and is a predicted model, not a curated record. Lineage: Eukaryota; Metazoa; Arthropoda; Insecta; Hymenoptera; Diprionidae. The transcript has 2 exons.